GCAGUGCGCCAUCGGACCUUUGGACAGUACCGGCAUUCAACUGGACCGUCCUAUCAACUUUACUCUCGGACACGGAGAUCACCGGCAAGAGACGGGAAUCACGUCCGGCACUAUAAAUCGGCCACUGUCCAACUACGGCUUCAAUGGGCACGGCGGCACAGCGUAUGCAAUGACGUCUAACCGCCUUCUGUUGCUUGAACAGGUGAUGUUGAUCGCCGCAUCAUACCAGCUGCAUGCGUAGAACCAGUGCGCCAUCGGACCUUUGGACAGUACCGGCAUUCAACUGGACCGUCCUAUCAACUUUACUCUCGGACACGGAGAUCACCGGCAAGAGACGGGAAUCACGUCCGGCACUAUAAAUCGGCCACUGUCCAACUACGGCUUCAAUGGGCACGGCGGCACAGCGUAUGCAAUGUCGUCUAACCACCUUCUGUUGCUUGAACAGCGAUGACUCUGGACCAACUCACCCGUAUCUACCUUUGCGCCCGGCCUAUUAUUCCUCAAAUAGUUAUUGAUGUAUUCGACGCACAGAUCAAGGUAUUUCCUGGAAAGACCCAAGCAGAGGUCACACGGAUGGUCUGCAGUGCUGUAGACGACGACAGCG
This is a non-coding RNA of Dermacentor albipictus, 604 nucleotides long. The record is from RefSeq and is a predicted model, not a curated record. Lineage: Eukaryota; Metazoa; Arthropoda; Arachnida; Ixodida; Ixodidae.